Non-coding RNA from Oleiphilus sp. HI0009, 73 nucleotides. NCBI's taxonomy places the organism in Bacteria, Pseudomonadati, Pseudomonadota, Gammaproteobacteria, Oceanospirillales, Oleiphilaceae. The record is from Rfam.
GCGCUAUUAGCUCAACGGAUAGAGUAGUGGUCUUCUACACCAUUUGUUGAAGGUUCGAAUCCUUCAUAGCGCG